UCUGUUCNGGAAGGGAGUAUAUCAUACAUCCCUGUGUUUAUUUACUUUUGUUGCUUUGGCGGGCCGUCCUUUUAGGCGUCGGCCCCNGCUGAUCGCGCCCGCCANAGGACCCANACUCUUCUAUCANUGAUGUCUGAGAUACUAUAUAAUAGUUAAAACUUUCAACAACGGAUCUCUUGGUUCUGGCAUCNAUGAAAAACGCANCGAAAUGCGAUAAGUAAUGUGAAUUGCAGAAUUCAUUGAAUCAUCUGUAAUCUUUGAACGCACAUUGCGCCCGCCGGUAUUCCGGCGGGCAUGCCUGUUCUGAGCGUCAUUAUGACCAAUCAAGCUCUGCUUGGCUUUGGGGCCCGCUGUAUCGGCGGCCCUUAAAAUCAGUGGCGGUGCCGUCUGGCUCUAAGCGUANUAAUACUUCUCGCUAUAUGGUUUAGUCUUCCACCCGCUANAACCCCCAACUUUCUUANGUUGACCUCGGAUCANGUANGGAUACCCGCUGAACUUAAGCAUAUCAAUAAGCGGACGAAAAGAAACCAACAGGGAUUGCCUCAGUAUCGGCNAGUGAAGCGGCAACAGCUCAGAUUUGAAAUCUGCCUCUAGGCCGAGUUGUAAUUUGUAGAACAUGCUUC
Molecule: ribosomal RNA, 623 nt
Filed under: uncultured Rhizoscyphus
Lineage: Eukaryota; Fungi; Ascomycota; Leotiomycetes; Helotiales; Helotiaceae
Description: eukaryotic LSU rRNA
Rfam family: 5.8S ribosomal RNA (bases 157-313)
Source: RNAcentral